UUAAAUUGAAGAGUUUGAUCAUGGCUCAGAUUGAACGCUGGCGGCAGGCCUAACACAUGCAAGUCGAACGGUAACAGGAAGCAGCUUGCUGUUUUGCUGACGAGUGGCGGACGGGUGAGUAAUGUCUGGGAAACUGCCUGAUGGAGGGGGAUAACUACUGGAAACGGUGGCUAAUACCGCAUAACGUCGCAAGACCAAAGAGGGGGACCUUCGGGCCUCUUGCCAUCAGAUGUGCCCAGAUGGGAUUAGCUUGUUGGUGAGGUAACGGCUCACCAAGGCGACGAUCCCUAGCUGGUCUGAGAGGAUGACCAGCCACACUGGAACUGAGACACGGUCCAGACUCCUACGGGAGGCAGCAGUGGGGAAUAUUGCACAAUGGGCGCAAGCCUGAUGCAGCCAUGCCGCGUGUAUGAAGAAGGCCUUCGGGUUGUAAAGUACUUUCAGCGGGGAGGAAGGUGUUGUGGUUAAUAACCACAGCAAUUGACGUUACCCGCAGAAGAAGCACCGGCUAACUCCGUGCCAGCAGCCGCGGUAAUACGGAGGGUGCAAGCGUUAAUCGGAAUUACUGGGCGUAAAGCGCACGCAGGCGGUCUGUCAAGUCGGAUGUGAAAUCCCCGGGCUCAACCUGGGAACUGCAUUCGAAACUGGCAGGCUUGAGUCUUGUAGAGGGGGGUAGAAUUCCAGGUGUAGCGGUGAAAUGCGUAGAGAUCUGGAGGAAUACCGGUGGCGAAGGCGGCCCCCUGGACAAAGACUGACGCUCAGGUGCGAAAGCGUGGGGAGCAAACAGGAUUAGAUACCCUGGUAGUCCACGCCGUAAACGAUGUCUACUUGGAGGUUGUGCCCUUGAGGCGUGGCUUCCGGAGCUAACGCGUUAAGUAGACCGCCUGGGGAGUACGGCCGCAAGGUUAAAACUCAAAUGAAUUGACGGGGGCCCGCACAAGCGGUGGAGCAUGU
This 954-nucleotide ribosomal RNA is filed under the name Salmonella enterica subsp. enterica serovar Hillingdon. RNAcentral describes it as "bacterial SSU rRNA". It matches the Rfam family "Bacterial small subunit ribosomal RNA", at positions 1 to 942 of the family's 1533-position model. The record is from RNAcentral. Lineage: Bacteria; Pseudomonadati; Pseudomonadota; Gammaproteobacteria; Enterobacterales; Enterobacteriaceae.